UGGGGAAUAUUGCACAAUGGGCGCAAGCCUGAUGCAGCGACGCCGCGUGGGGGAUGACGGCCUUCGGGUUGUAAACUCCUUUCGCUAGGGACGAAGCCACUCGUGGUGACGGUACCUGGAGAAGAAGCACCGUCUAACUACGUGCCAGCAGCCGCGGUAAUACGUAGGGUGCGAGCGUUGUCCGGAAUUACUGGGCGUAAAGAGCUCGUAGGUGGUUUGUCGCGUCGUCUGUGAAAUCCCGGGGCUUAACUUCAGGCGUGCAGGCGAUACGGGCAUAACUUGAGUGCUGUAGGGGAGACUGGAAUUCCUGGUGUAGCGGUGAAAUGCGCAGAUAUCAGGAGGAACACCAAUGGCGAAGGCAGGUCUCUGGGCAGUAACUGACGCUGAGGAGCGAAAGCAUGGGUAGCGAACAGG
This 414-nucleotide ribosomal RNA is filed under the name uncultured bacterium. Its description in RNAcentral is "bacterial SSU rRNA". It matches the Rfam family "Bacterial small subunit ribosomal RNA", at positions 355 to 776 of the family's 1533-position model. The record is from RNAcentral.